RNAcentral lists this ribosomal RNA (466 nucleotides) under uncultured bacterium. Its description in RNAcentral is "bacterial SSU rRNA". It matches the Rfam family "Bacterial small subunit ribosomal RNA", at positions 28 to 507 of the family's 1533-position model. The record is from RNAcentral.
GACGAACGCUGGCGGCAUGCCUAACACAUGCAAGUCGAACGGAGAAAAGGAAGCUUGCUUCUUUUUCUUAGUGGCGGACGGGUGAGUAACGCGUGAGUAACCUGCCUUUCAGAGGGGGAUAACGUUCUGAAAAGAACGCUAAUACCGCAUGAGACUACGGAGCUGCAUGGCUCAGUGGUCAAAGGAGCAAUCCGCUGAAAGAUGGACUCGCGUCCGAUUAGAUAGUUGGCGGGGUAACGGCCCACCAAGUCGACGAUCGGUAGCCGGACUGAGAGGUUGAACGGCCACAUUGGGACUGAGACACGGCCCAGACUCCUACGGGAGGCAGCAGUGAGGGAUAUUCGGCAAUGGGGGAAACCCUGACCGAGCAAUGCCGCGUGAGGGAUGACGGUUUUCGGAUUGUAAACCUCUGUCCUCCGUGAAGAUAAUGACGGUAGCAGAGGAGGAAGCUCCGGCUAACUACGUG